RNAcentral lists this ribosomal RNA (234 nucleotides) under uncultured bacterium. Its description in RNAcentral is "partial 16S ribosomal RNA". It matches the Rfam family "Bacterial small subunit ribosomal RNA", at positions 118 to 347 of the family's 1533-position model. The record is from RNAcentral.
UGAGCAAUCUGCCCUUCUCAUCGGAAUAAGCGUUGGAAACGACGUCUAAUGCCGAAUACGACCUCCUUUCGCAUGAUCGGAGGUGGAAAGCUCCGGCGGAGAAGGAUGAGCUCGCGGCCUAUCAGCUAGUUGGUGUGGGUAAUGGCCCACCAAGGCGACGACGGGUAGCCGGCCUGAGAGGGGUGACCGGCCACACUGGGACUGAGACACGGCCCAGACUCCGUACGGGAGCAG